GGUCACAUGGGCGCAGUCUGACGGAGCAUACCGCGUGAGGGAAGACUGCCUAUGGGUUGUAAACCUCUUUUUUCAGGGAGGAAUAAAAUGACGUGUACCUGAAGAAUAAGCAUCGGCUAACUCCGUGCCAGCAGCCGCGGUAGCACGGAGGAUGCAAGUGUUAUCCGGAAUCACUGGGCGUAAAGCGUCUGUAGGUGGUUUAAUAAGUCAACUGUUAAAUCUUGAUGGCUCAACUUCAAAAUCCCAAUCUAAACUAUUGCACUAGAUUAUGGUAGAGGUAAAGGAAAUUUCCAUUGAAGCGGUGAAUUGCGUAAAGAUUGAAAAGAACACCAAUGGCAAAAGCACUUUUUGGGGCUAUUACUAACUCUCAAAAACAAAACCUAGGGUAGCAAAUGGGAUUAAAUACCCCAGUAAUCCUACCUGUAAACAAUGGAUACUAUAUGUUGAACAAAUCGACCUGUGCAGUAUCAAACCUAACGCGUUAAGUAUCCCGCCUGGGAAGUAUGCUCGCAAAAUUGAAACUCAAAGGAAUUGACGGAUG
This 541-nucleotide ribosomal RNA is filed under the name uncultured bacterium. RNAcentral's name for it is "bacterial SSU rRNA". It matches the Rfam family "Bacterial small subunit ribosomal RNA", at positions 359 to 919 of the family's 1533-position model. The record is from RNAcentral.